UUUGUUUGCUGUGUGUCGGAGU
This 22-nucleotide microRNA is filed under the name Dasypus novemcinctus (nine-banded armadillo). RNAcentral describes it as "dno-miR-12085-3p". The record is from miRBase by way of RNAcentral. Lineage: Eukaryota; Metazoa; Chordata; Mammalia; Cingulata; Dasypodidae.